Peromyscus maniculatus bairdii (prairie deer mouse) is the source of this 1870-nucleotide non-coding RNA. The record is from RefSeq and is a predicted model, not a curated record. NCBI's taxonomy places the organism in Eukaryota, Metazoa, Chordata, Mammalia, Rodentia, Cricetidae.
CCAAAGAAUACAGAAUGGGAGAGAAACAAAGGAAGCCUGGUGAUCCUAACGCCAGAGUGGAAGGAGGUGGAUUGUGACAAAUGGCUGGGAACAUGCUACAUGCCAAGGCCUUCAACUCAGUCAUGUGGGUAAGAGGUUUACUGUGAAGUCACAGAGCUCCAUUAUAUACUGACCUAGGAAAAUGUAAGAGUCCCUGUGCUUAGACAAUUGGAACAAGAGCCCACAGAAAAAGAAGCCAUGGAGCCACAGGUAAGCCAACCAUACCAACUAGAAACUGAAGCAAGACAAAAGCAGACUUUGCUGUGCCUGGUGAUAUAGAAAGGAGGUGGCAUUACUUUAUAAGAUACAAAUUCAUGAAAGAGAAAAACCAAACUCUUAUCUUACAAAAGCUCAAAAAUUAGAGAAGUGUCUUGAGAAGCUGAGAAGAUCUGACAUGUCAAAUCAAUCUGCCUCUUUAGAGAAACUGACUUGGAAAAGGAAUGAUGUCCACUUUGUCUUUUUUCCUGCUACAAAAAUACCUGUAGUUAUGGUGAAUGAACAUCAAGACAGACUUUGGGAUGUUGCCAAUUAACCAGCCAAGGCUGGGAUCAGUGACCUACUUUAAUAAGAACUAAAAACUUCAGGACUCUUAAAUGUGGAUGAAAUGGCUUCAUGUUCAUUACUCAGGAGUGGUCUAAAGGGACAAGAAGUCCUGGGAUCAUCCAGCUGCUUGGAAGAAUGAGUCAUCAGUAACACAGAUGGAAAAAAAACCCCAAAAACAAAACACUACCUCUGGCAGACAAUCCCUGACAGUCCUCUGAUCGAUAUUAAAUACCACCAUGUAACAGGUCACCGUGUUCAAUUGUCUGGGGUAACAUCUAGCCAUUCACUUACCCAGCAGACAUCUGGAGACCUGUACAAGGUCAUCAUUAAGGCUUUCCAGAGAGCAUUUUUGUGCCAUAAAGAACAUUUCUCUAAAGAUUUCAAACUCAAAACUACCUCUGACUUGCUCCAACUUGUUUGAAAUCAUCAGUGACCUAAAUACUGAGGCAAACUCCAAACUACAUUUUGAAGAAUAUCUGACUUGAUGAGAGGAUGUCCAUGGGAGCUCUUCAUCUAUUCUAGAAUACUGGGGUCUGGGCUUUAAAAUUUUCAUAAAAUUGGACAAAAAAAAAAAAAGAAAAGAAAAGAAAGCUUACCAUUUAUGUGGUCCUGUAUGUAUGGAGACCUAAUUAGCACUAUGGAAUGUCUGCUUUCCAGAAUGUCUUCAGAAUUGAACUUGAUUGAUUCCUAUCACAAAUAUGACUAACAUGAAAGAAAUUUGCCCAAUAGAACUUGAGAGAGUGGUCAAAUGCUGCUGCGAUUAGUUGCAUUAACAUCAUAUCAGGUGCUGGUUAAAACAGAGACUCCAAGCUCUCAUCUCAAACUACCUACAUUGAAAAUUCCAAGAAUAGAGCCCAACAGUUGGUAUUUUUAAUGAGGACUCUAUCUAGCUUUUAUGAGGACUCAAAUUGGAAGCCCCAGACUAAGGGACUAAGAAAGAAUCCACAUAGUCCUGUGGUGCUGGAGGCACUUCUGACUUUGUGAUGCAUUUAGCCUGGCAGAUACUUGGUACAAGGUCACCACUUGAAGGAUCAACUUCAUUAACACGUGUGCUUCAAUGUCAAAACAUCAGCUUUUAUUUUGAUGACUGCGUCAGUCUUUGCCAUGGAGUUAUUAGGAAGGAUACGGCUAAGAUACUCUUCACAUUAACUUUAUCUCCUUUCAAGAAAGAGCCCAAUGUUUUUCUUAUUGUAAAAUCUGGUGUUCAUCAUUUCUUCACUUUCCUUUAAGCUGUCAGGAAAAUCAAAACCAAACUGGUACCUAAAUGCAGCAAUUCCUUUAAUCCUCA